This 558-nucleotide small RNA is filed under the name Pongo abelii (Sumatran orangutan). RNAcentral describes it as "retained intron". Lineage: Eukaryota; Metazoa; Chordata; Mammalia; Primates; Hominidae. The record is from RNAcentral.
UCUCUUUAACUUGACUCUAUUUUUUUCUCUCCCCGUCUCUUCCCUGGCCUUGCGCUCGCUCUUCCUGCCCUGUAGCCGUGGGCGUCCAAAUGAAGCUGGAAUUCCUCCAGCGCAAAUUCUGGGCGGCAACGCGGCAGGAUCUGAACUGCUUCGUCAUUGACAACAACGGGUUCAUUCUGAUCUCCAAGAGGUCCCAAGAGAUGGGAAGAUUUCUGGGGGAGGUGGAUGGUGCUGCCAUGACCCAGCUGCUCAGCAUGGGGGUGUUCAGCCAAGUGACCAUGUAUGACUAUCAGGCCAUGUGCAAACCCUCGAGUCACCACCACAGCGCAGCCCAGCCCCUGGUCAGCCCAAUUUCUGCCUUCUUGACGGCGACCAGGUGGCUGCUGCAGGAGCUGGUGCUGUGAGUGGGGGUAGACAUGGGGCUGGUGGAGGGCUGCAUGCGAGGGUAGCUUAGGAGGGUGUCCUUGAGCAGGAGGCUGCAAGGUCUCCAGGACAACCCACUUGCUACCAGACCCCGGGGAAGGAGGGCACAAUCCCUGGGCAUGGACACCACCUCUU